UAGGGAAUCUUCCACAAUGGACGCAAGUCUGAUGGAGCAACGCCGCGUGAGUGAAGAAGGUUUUCGGAUCGUAAAGCUCUGUUGUUGGUGAAGAAGGAUAGAGGCAGUAACUGGUCUUUAUUUGACGGUAAUCAACCAGAAAGUCACGGCUAACUACGUGCCAGCAGCCGCGGUAAUACGUAGGUGGCAAGCGUUGUCCGGAUUUAUUGGGCGUAAAGCGAGCGCAGGCGGAAUGAUAAGUCUGAUGUGAAAGCCCACGGCUCAACCGUGGAACUGCAUCGGAAACUGUCAUUCUUGAGUGCAGAAGAGGAGAGUGGAACUCCAUGUGUAGCGGUGGAAUGCGUAGAUAUAUGGAAGAACACCAGUGGCGAAGGCGGCUCUCUGGUCUGCAACUGACGCUGAGGCUCGAAAGCAUGGGUAGCGAACAGGAUUAGAUACCCUGGUAGUCCAUGCCGUAAACGAUGAGCGCUAGGUGUUGGGGACUUUCCGGUCCUCAGUGCCGCAGCAAACG
This 511-nucleotide ribosomal RNA is filed under the name uncultured bacterium. RNAcentral's name for it is "partial 16S ribosomal RNA". It matches the Rfam family "Bacterial small subunit ribosomal RNA", at positions 355 to 857 of the family's 1533-position model. The record is from RNAcentral.